RNAcentral lists this ribosomal RNA (1535 nucleotides) under Enterococcus faecalis. RNAcentral describes it as "partial 23S ribosomal RNA". It matches the Rfam family "Bacterial large subunit ribosomal RNA", at positions 1 to 1530 of the family's 2925-position model. Lineage: Bacteria; Bacillati; Bacillota; Bacilli; Lactobacillales; Enterococcaceae. The record is from RNAcentral.
GUUGAUAAGGUUAAGUGAAUAAGGGCGCACGGUGGAUGCCUUGGCACUAGGAGCCGAUGAAGGACGGGACUAACACCGAUAUGCUUUGGGGAGCUGUAAGUAAGCUAUGAUCCAGAGAUUUCCGAAUGGGGGAACCCAAUAUCUUUUAUAGGAUAUUACUUUUCAGUGAAUACAUAGCUGAUUAGAGGUAGACGCAGAGAACUGAAACAUCUUAGUACCUGCAGGAAGAGAAAGAAAAUUCGAUUCCCUGAGUAGCGGCGAGCGAAACGGGAAGAGCCCAAACCAACAAGCUUGCUUGUUGGGGUUGUAGGACUCCGAUAUGGUAGUCUGUUAGUAUAGUUGAAGGAUUUGGAAAAUUCCGCUAAAGAGGGUGAAAGCCCCGUAGACGAAAUGCUAACAACACCUAGGAGGAUCCUGAGUACGGCGGAACACGAGAAAUUCCGUCGGAAUCCGCGGGGACCAUCCCGCAAGGCUAAAUACUCCCUAGUGACCGAUAGUGAACCAGUACCGUGAGGGAAAGGUGAAAAGCACCCCGGAAGGGGAGUGAAAUAGAUCCUGAAACCGUGUGCCUACAACAAGUCAAAGCUCGUUAAUGAGUGAUGGCGUGCCUUUUGUAGAAUGAACCGGCGAGUUACGAUUGCAUGCGAGGUUAAGUCGAAGAGACGGAGCCGCAGCGAAAGCGAGUCUGAAUAGGGCGAAUGAGUAUGUAGUCGUAGACCCGAAACCAUGUGAUCUACCCAUGUCCAGGUUGAAGGUGCGGUAAAACGCACUGGAGGACCGAACCCACGUACGUUGAAAAGUGCGGGGAUGAGGUGUGGGUAGCGGAGAAAUUCCAAACGAACUUGGAGAUAGCUGGUUCUCUCCGAAAUAGCUUUAGGGCUAGCCUCGGAAUUGAGAAUGAUGGAGGUAGAGCACUGUUUGGACUAGGGGCCCAUCUCGGGUUACCGAAUUCAGAUAAACUCCGAAUGCCAUUCAUUUAUAUCCGGGAGUCAGACUGCGAGUGAUAAGAUCCGUAGUCGAAAGGGAAACAGCCCAGACCACCAGCUAAGGUCCCAAAAUAUAUGUUAAGUGGAAAAGGAUGUGGGGUUGCACAGACAACUAGGAUGUUGGCUUAGAAGCAGCCACCAUUUAAAGAGUGCGUAAUAGCUCACUAGUCGAGUGACCCUGCGCCGAAAAUGUACCGGGGCUAAACAUAUUACCGAAGCUGUGGACUACACCAUUAGGUGUAGUGGUAGGAGAGCGUUCUAAGGGCGUUGAAGGUCGAUCGUGAGGACGGCUGGAGCGCUUAGAAGUGAGAAUGCCGGUAUGAGUAGCGAAAGACAGGUGAGAAUCCUGUCCACCGUAUGACUAAGGUUUCCUGGGGAAGGCUCGUCCGCCCAGGGUUAGUCGGGACCUAAGCCGAGGCCGAUAGGCGUAGGCGAUGGACAACAGGUUGAUAUUCCUGUACCAGUUGUUUUUGUUUGAGCAAUGGAGGGACGCAGUAGGCUAAGGAAUGCAUGCGAUUGGAAGUGCAUGUCCAAGCAAUGAGUCUUGAG